GUGAACUAGGAUGCUAGAGCUCACUGUUUCCUGCCGGGUGCAUAUUGGUUACAUUGUUGCCCUGCCCCUUCUGAUCUACUACACUUAACAUUCUUCUUGCUUUUCCUGUAUUUCAUCCUAGUUUUAAGUAGAAUGUAAAUAUUUACAGUCUGCUCAGUGUUUGAAUUUCUAUUCUUGGAAAUUAAAUCAUUCAUUCAUUAACACAUUUCUUUUUUUCUGUUUCGUUCCUAGCCACGGUCAGAGCGGAAGUGGAGGUGAGACACAAGCUUUCUGUUUGUAGUCUUGAACAUGUUUGAAAAUGUUAAUGAGAAAACACUGUAGUUUGCUGACUGUAAAGAGGAGUUUUUUAUAUUUCUGUACAUCAAGUCAAGGGUUUUAAAUAUAAUUUUAUUGGUACAGCCAUUGUACCACAAGAUUUCUGUGUAAGCAUGUAAUGAACUUUAUCAUAUCCUCCCCAACCCGUACCUUUCUUCCUCUUCCUCUUCCUCUUCCCCCUCCCCUUACUUCCUACCUUUGCUCCCCUAGACCAUUUCUCUUCUGCUUUCUUGUCAUAUAUACAUACAUCAUUUUAUAGAUCUGUAUAGGAACCAGAAAUUAAAGACCCAACAGGAUCUUCAGGAGGGAAAGUCCUCGGAGUCUAUGACCCAGAUUCUAGACCUGGUCACCAAGUGACUGUGACUCGGUCACCUCUGUCUUCCACGUUUGCUGUGGAUCCUCGUGUGACUCCACUCUCAGAGUGCCUGGGAUAGUCUUGCUUUCUGCACACUGUCUGAGUGCAAUUUAGAAUAAGAAGCCUCCCCAGUACCAUGCAGUUUUUAUCACAAUUGCUCUGUAGUACAGCUUAAUGUCAGGCAUGAUGAUUCCACCAGAGGUUCUUUUAUUGUUGAGAAGAGUUUCUGCUAUCCUAGGUUUUUUUGUUAUUUCAGAUAAAUUUGCAAAUUGCCCUUCCUAACUCUGUGAAGAAUUGAGUUGGAAUUUUGAUGGGGAUUGCAUUGAAUCUGUAUAUUGCUUUCGGCAAGAUAGCCAUUUUGACUAUAUUAAUCCUGCCAAUCCAUGAGCGAGGGAGCACUAUGUUUUCUCAUAUUAAUUCUCACCCACACAUUUUACAUCAGAUCCGGAGUGUCCAUCAUCCCUCAUUUCUUUAUGAUGGCUUUGGCCCUAACACGCUUUAAAAUAAUCAAUAAAGCAACUGAUUUAGGAACUAUCUACGUGGUAGUGAGAAAUGCAAAGUUUUCCACUUAAAUGACUAAUACGAAAAAGGGAUGCUUUCCGCAGUCAAAUGGGAGAGAAUUGUAUCAAAAUCAGAGUGGCCUGUAUGUGAUCAGGUUGUACAACUGACAAAAGAUUUCCUUCCUAAUCCGAAUGAAGGGAUGUUCCCCCCGCCACCAACAGACGACGAGAUCUAUGACGGAAUAGAGGAGGAAGAUGAUGACGAUGGGUAAGAAUAAUCACUGAAUUGCUUUUCCCCCAUGGUAUCACAUAUAUGACAAUUUAAUGUUCAUCUCCAGAUAGUAUAAACAGUAGAAAAUGUUGUUCUUCUUCGGUCCUAAAAUUGUGAGAAGGUUUAAUUGUCAUUAAGGGUAAAUCAUAAAGGAUAAUUGUAUCACACUGUAAACAAACUAGUAAAUUGAAAAAUCUCAUUUAUG
This 1646-nucleotide long non-coding RNA is filed under the name Mus musculus (house mouse). RNAcentral describes it as "long non-coding RNA chr15:6642325-6643971". The record is from RNAcentral. Lineage: Eukaryota; Metazoa; Chordata; Mammalia; Rodentia; Muridae.